This 484-nucleotide ribosomal RNA is filed under the name uncultured bacterium. RNAcentral's name for it is "partial 16S ribosomal RNA". It matches the Rfam family "Bacterial small subunit ribosomal RNA", at positions 30 to 507 of the family's 1533-position model. The record is from RNAcentral.
AUUGAACGCUGGCGGCAGGCCUAACACAUGCAAGUCGAGCGGCUGAAGGGAGCUUGCUCCUGGAUUCAGCGUCGGACGGGUGAGUAAUGCCUAGGAAUCUGCCUGGUAGUGGGGGAUAACGUCCGGAAACGGGCGCUAAUACCGCAUACGUACCGAGGGAGAAAGUGGGGGAUCUUCGGACCUCACGCUAUCAGAUGAGCCUAGGUCGGAUUAGCUAGUUGGUGGGGUAAAGGCCUACCAAGGCGACGAUCCGUAACUGGUCUGAGAGGAUGAUCAGUCAGACUGGAACUGAGACACGGUCCUGACUCCUACGGGGGGCAGCAGUGGGGAAUAUUGGACAAUGGGCGAAAGCCUGAUCCAGCCAUGCCGCGUGUGUAAAGAAGGUCUUCGGAUUGUAAAGCACUUUAAGUUGGGAAGAAGGGCAGUAAGUUAAUACCUUGCUAUUUUGACGUUACCGACAGAAUAAGCACCGGCUAACUUCGUG